RNAcentral lists this non-coding RNA (77 nucleotides) under chicken gut metagenome. Its description in RNAcentral is "ZMP/ZTP riboswitch". It matches the Rfam family "ZMP/ZTP riboswitch aptamer (pfl RNA motif)". From Rfam's summary of the family: Previously known as pfl RNA. The record is from RNAcentral.
GACGUGCAACUGGCGGAUAAGUGGGAUUGACCACAGGGAGCACGUGGAAGACGAGAGCCGGCCGCCUGGGCUGCCCU